GGCGAACGGGUGCGUAACGCGUAUGCAACUUACCUUUUACUAGAGAAUAGCCAAGAGAAAUUUUGAUUAAUGCUCUAUGUUCUUAUUUACUCGCAUGAGUAAAUAAGCAAAGCUCCGGCGGUAAAAGAUGGGCAUGCGUCCUAUUAGCUUGUAGGUGAGGUAAUGGCUCACCUAAGCUCCGAUAGGUAGGGGUCCUGAGAGGGAGAUCCCCCACACUGGUACUGAGACACGGACCAGACUUCUACGGAAGGCAGCAGUAAGGAAUAUUGGACAAUGGAGGCAACUCUGAUCCAGCCAUGCCGCGUGAAGGAAGACGGCCUUAUGGGUUGUAAACUUCUUUUAUACAGGAAGAAACCUUUCCACGUGUGGAAAGCUGACGGUACUGUAAGAAUAAGGAUCGGCUAACUCCGUGCCAGCAGCCGCGGUAAUACGGAGGAUCCAAGCGUUAUCCGGAAUUAUUGGGUUUAAAGGGUCCGCAGGCUGUUUGUUAAGUCAGAGGUGAAAUCCUACCGCUCAACGGUAGAACUGCCUUUGAUACUGGCAAACUUGAGUUAUUGUGAAGUAGUUAGAAUGUGUAGUGUAGCGGUGAAAUGCAUAGAUAUUACACAGAAUACCGAUUGCGAAAGCAGAUUACUAACAAUAUACUGACGCUGAGGGACGAAAGCGUGGGUAGCGAACAGGAUUAGAUACCCUGGUAGUCCACGCCGUUAACGAUGGUCACUAGCUGUUCCGACGUACAUUGGUACGUUGAGUGGCUAAGCGAAAGUGAUAAGUGACC
Molecule: ribosomal RNA, 778 nt
Filed under: uncultured marine bacterium
Lineage: Bacteria
Description: bacterial SSU rRNA
Rfam family: Bacterial small subunit ribosomal RNA
Source: RNAcentral